CCUCUAGCACAUCUUGCAUCCGCGACUUAGACCGCGACUCGAGUCGACAUUCCCGCGGCUGUCAAAUCUGUCGAUUUCCGUAGCACAACUUGUACCCGCGACUGCAACAGCCGCGUAGAGAACUCAAAGUCGCGGCGCGACUCAUCAGUGUUCCCCGAUAGAAUCAAAGUCUAAACAUAAAUGCUAUUUACAUGUGACAACACUGAAUCGGAAACAGGGUUGCGCUAUUUCAUUCGUUCUUUGGUGGUAAAAAAUCUAGUUUAUUGUCGAUGGUUAAGUUUUUCCUGUCAAAGUCAAGGAACUUUCAAAUUUUGUCAACAUUUAAUUACGAUGCUGUUUAAUGUAUAAUUUAGAUAGCAUAUUAUGCAGUGAAUGGCAAGUUGACGGGUGCAGUCUUUAAUGAAGAAUUCUUCUGGAAAUGCGAGUACCAAUUCUUGGACAUCAUUCGGCAGUUCGUGGUCUCGGCCGCCAUUACGCUUUGUACUGCUGCUCCGGCUAUCCUCCAGUGCAUCGUGAAGGCCUAUCACCGUACAUCAUGCGUUAAUACUUUGUAUUGUGAAAUAUUUUACUUGUAAUCUACAUUUACUGUAUUUUGGCAAGGGCCCAUGAGGCUGCCACUUCUCCAAUAAAUAAUAAUAAUAAUUACGAGAAAAAAUAUGAAAAAAAUAAUAAGUCCAGCAUUAUCCUAGACACGAUUGAUAUCCCAGCACCCAAAGGAAAAUAUUGUUAACAGGAAUGUGCCAACGGGACCUGAAGUGGAGAGUCAGGAAAAGAAACACACUAGGCAAGCUUGUACGUUUCAAACACGGAGCUGUCCGUUUCUAAAGUCACUAAGAUGUGAGAAGCGCUUUAGCUUUAAGAACACCACCGAGGAAGUGAACUAUUAUAAUAACCAUAAUGGUUAUGGCGUACCUAUCUAUAAUUCAUUUUUUUUUAGCAUUAGAAAUAAGGUAAACAAUCUUGAUGUGUCUUUUAAUUGAAAAACACAUUUUAAAAAUAAGUUACAGCAAAUAUGUAACAAUUAUGAAUCUAAUACGAUCAUUUAUAUUUUUCUGCUUUCAUAAGCAAAUAUUGUGCCAAUAAUGGAUGGCAUGUGUGUGUACUGUGUAGUGUGUAACUGUUUAUGAUUUGACAAAUUGAUUUGAAAAGCUUAUUUCAUAGUCCUCGAUGAAGUCACGACCAUAUUUUAUUUUUUUGUUUACAAACCAAUUUUCUUUCCGGGUGAUAUUUAAUUGUCCUAUGCCGCAUGUCGAAUAAAAAGGAAGACAGAAAAUACUUUUCAAGGGUAAUAAAGAAGAUUCUUACAAUUUCUCUAUUGUGGUUCUAGAUGUUAAUAAUAUAUUAGGUUUAAUAAUAAGAAGUCGAAUAUUGCAAGAAUAUAUAAGGCAAAGCAAUAUACUAUUAAUUUAAAUA
Molecule: long non-coding RNA, 1413 nt
Organism: Cydia splendana
Lineage: Eukaryota; Metazoa; Arthropoda; Insecta; Lepidoptera; Tortricidae
Exons: 2
Source: RefSeq, a predicted model, not a curated record